AUCUCAGUGUUUUCCUUUGCGAAUCACUGGUUGGCCAGUGGAAUUAAUGGCGUACAGCUUUUUAGCAGUCAGCCCUCCAAGUAUGAGCAGACAGUUCGAAGAGAUGGCUGCAGCAGCAUCAAAUAAGACAGGCAUGAAGAAGGAUUUAAGAUACCCUGAAAUUGAGGAACCGACAUUACAGUUCAUAUUGGAUAGUUGUGAGUUGAGCAUAUCAAAGUACACCAAAUUCUUGCAGGUGAGGGGUUUUUGGUAGCAUCAUGCCUUGACUAGAAUACUUAAAGGUUGCUACUGGGGCUUAGCCCAGCUGUCCUUUUAUUUUCUCAGGAAAGAAGGAAAAGAGGGUAGGGAGAUUGUUUGGGGAGGGUGUCAGGGUUUGGGACUGGCUAGAAAUCUUAAACUUCCAGACUUGGUGGUCUCCUCAUGUACCCAAGAAUGGAAUAAUUUUAAUAUUUAACUGUGCAGACACUGUAAACUAAUGGCACUAUGUCAAAAAUAAUAAGUUCCUUCACUUAAUUGUUGAUUUUUUUUUGUACUGCAAAUCUUGCAUUAAGAAGCUCCAUGGGCAAUAGCACCUCUGAAAAUUGGUAUCCCACAUAUACAAUAUAGCUUAGUAGAGUGUAUUGGCCUUUUUACCUAUGAUGUUGAGUUUCUGGGUUGCAUAUGAUCUAAUAAUACAGUUCUUCAUCAUUCUAUUGUCAUUGGAAAGUGAUGCUACUUUAGCGCUCUGAAAAUUUGUAUCCCAUGUCCAUUUGAUAUGAAAUACCAUGUGGCUUAAUGGUGCAUAUUGGCUUCUUUGCCUACAAUCUUGAGCUUUUGGGUUGGAUGGUCUAAAAUGGUUUUCAUCAUUCUAUGCACGU
RNAcentral lists this unclassified non-coding RNA (857 nucleotides) under Hevea brasiliensis (rubber tree). The record is from RNAcentral. Lineage: Eukaryota; Viridiplantae; Streptophyta; Magnoliopsida; Malpighiales; Euphorbiaceae.